AGAACGAACGCUGGCGGCAUGCCUAACACAUGCAAGUCGAACGCUCUCUUCGGAGGGAGUGGCGCACGGGUGAGUAACGCGUGGGAACCUGCCUUGGAGUGGGGGAUAACCGAUGGAAACGUCGGCUAAUACCGCAUACGUCCUGAGGGAGAAAGAUUUAUCGCUCUGAGAGGGGCCCGCGUCGGAUUAGCUAGUUGGUGGGGUAACGGCCUACCAAGGCGAUGAUCCGUAGCUGGUCUGAGAGGAUGAUCAGCCACACUGGGACUGAGACACGGCCCAGACUCCUACGGGAGGCAGCAGUGGGGAAUAUUGGACAAUGGGCGCAAGCCUGAUCCAGCAAUGCCGCGUGAGUGAUGACGGCCUUAGGGUUGUAAAGCUCUUUCAGCAGGGACGAAGCGAAAGUGACGGUACCUGCAGAAGAAGCACCGGCCAACUACGCGCCAGCAGCCGC
This 451-nucleotide ribosomal RNA is filed under the name uncultured bacterium. Its description in RNAcentral is "SSU rRNA". It matches the Rfam family "Bacterial small subunit ribosomal RNA", at positions 26 to 518 of the family's 1533-position model. The record is from RNAcentral.